This 142-nucleotide ribosomal RNA is filed under the name uncultured eukaryote. RNAcentral's name for it is "partial 18S ribosomal RNA". It matches the Rfam family "Eukaryotic small subunit ribosomal RNA", at positions 1299 to 1458 of the family's 1831-position model. The record is from RNAcentral.
UGGUGGAGUGAUUUGUCUGGUUAAUUCCGUUAACGAACGAGACCCCUGCCUGCUGAAUAGUCAAAUGAGUGAUUUUUCACUGAUUGUGGCUUCUUAGAGGGACGUGCAUUUUAUUAGAUGCAGGAGGAUAGGGGCAAUAACA